AACCUAUGUCUAAAGGGCAUAGAGAUCAGGUGUAUGUGCAUACAUGGAUAUGUGCUUCUAUUUUCUUAGCUCAAUAAAAUGGAAAAAAAGAGCAACAACCGUGGGAGAUUAUGGCAAUAGAAUUACCGCAUGUAACUUAUGAAAAAUUCUCGGGCAGUGGCACCCUGGAAAAGAAAGGUAGGUACUCCAUGACUCUGAAACCUGACCAUAUGAGGACAUAAUAAUGUUUGGGGAGGGAUGGGUAGCCAAAGUCUAGCACAUCUAUCCAUGCUUGCCCUCUGAGUCCUGGAGGCAAGGACCGAGGGCAGGGCCUUGUCCCUGUGAAACUCCAGGGGACACCCCUCACAUAACAGGGCAGGGAAAUAUUUUGAGACUCCCCUGAAAAUCUCUAUACUGGAACUCUAAAGCUAUAAGCUCAAUUUUCUCUUUUAGCGGGGUAUAUAUGUUUCUUUGUCCCCAAAUAUCAGUUCCUUAUUAUUUAAAAAUUUUUUACUUGCCACGUUAUCUGUUAAUUAAAAAAAAAUUAAUACAUUCUGUAGUUGAGCAAACAUUAUCUUUUAAAAUGAAAAUGUUCCUGGAGGGCAGGUAACGUGGUUAUAGUCUUAGGGAACAUAAAUCUUGUUUGAGGAAAUAGAAAGUAGAUGGCAGUAUGGGAAGCAUGUUGGUAAAUGGAAAGGUAAUUCUAGAACAUAAGACUCGGCAAGGGUGGGCAGGUAAUGUUGGAAACAUUAAAGUCCUGAUUAGCAGAGGUAUUUGGGGAAACUUAUAAAACAUUUGCAUUUAUGGAGAGGUCUGCUUCUUUGUUUUUUACCUUGGAUCUUACCUGGAUAACUAUAUAUCCCAGGUUGCAAAUGAUAGUCUCACUUUACACUAGUUUCUGGGAAUGAUUAUUUUACUUUCAAAAUUGUCCCAGAAUGCAUGAUAAAUUUUAUGGAAAAAUCUCUUUUUGCCCAACUUUUCUUCCUUUAGGAAGGAGGGAAGAGUCUCUGACUUGAGAGAUUCAAGGUAAGUCUGUGAUUCCUUUCUCUAAAGACAACUAUCUGUUUCACUCCUCUGUCUUGGAAAGCCCAGAGGUGGUGAUAUUUGUCUGUGUAUGGUGACAGUAUGAAUAAUCACUCCUACACAUGUAUAUGUGUUGGAGGACAUAGAGCCAAGACAAAGUGUCUUAGAUUGUAUUUCUCCCAAACAGACCCUGAAUGCAAGUUUAUCUGGGAAGUGAUCUCCAGAAACUAAUAAGGAAGUGGAAAAUGGUGAGUUAGGAUAAGGAUGGAAGCGAGUAGCCAUUUCUUAUUGAGCCAGAUACCUCUGUGAGAAUAGUGGCUCAAUCUUGCUAGGGAUUUCUGGUAGGAUGUAUAUCAUCUCAAAUAAGUUGUGAGGGAACUAGGAUAUUUAUCUACCAACUUCUGACAACUCAUUAGCUGAGGACUGUCCCCAGGAGACACAAACUGCCCAGAAAUCCUGACCUAUCAGCAAAUGAGCAGAAAAAACAUCCAUAGCCUGAAACCCUCAAGCAAAGAUUCACAGGUCCUUAAGAUGGUAGCCAAUGGUUCUGCACAAAUGUGAUUACCAAAAGGCUGUAGAAGAGACAUUGAUGGUGUCUGGGGCAUAGGCACAGGGAAACAAAUGACAUAGGAAAUAUGAUUUUGGAGUAUUAGGAAGAUCAAUCAACAUUGAAUGAUAGCUCCUAUGCAAACUGUUUAUCUUUCACUAAUGUUGAAAACAAUACUUGAUUAUGAUCUGUUAGUUGCAAGUUGAUUGAUGAGUGAAUUUAUUAAUCAGUAUAAUGAAACUUUUGGGUCUUUGGCAUCUGACAUGAUUGGAUCCAGUGUUUCCGAUUAUGCCGACAUAAUUCUCUUUUGGACUGUUUUCCUAUGUUUUGACUUCAUACUUAAGUAGGUCAUCUCUAUUGGUGGCAAAGUUGAAUACCAAUUAGAUUCAACCUGUUCAAGCCCAGAAUAAAUAAAGCACUUUAUUUUCCAAAAGUUCCAGAAUAAGUCUAAGGAAGCUCUCACUGUACUAAAUUAUGCCACUUGUACAUCCCUCAGCCAGUUAAUGAUGCCAGAGAAAGAGAAUUUGAGGAUUGGCUGGACUGAGUUCAUAUACCCAUCCCUAGAACUAAGGAAACUGGGAAAACCCUGCCUGAAUCACAUAGCCAAAGGUAUGGGCAGUGUAGUUCCUUAGAAGAAAAUCAGGUUGCUGCUAUUAGAAAGGAGAAUGGAUAGCAGACAUUAAACACCCACACACAUGCCCUGCAGGAAUAUACCCACAUACAUUGCCAUUUUAUGCAUUAGGUUUGAUCCCUGAAAAACCUUUGUUUUAUAAUAAAAAGGAUUUAAUACCUUGCUUUUUUUUUUCUAGCCAGGUGAAAAAUUUCUGGCUUUGCAAUAGCUGUUUUGUAAUAUUGAGCACUUUGCUAAACAGAAUGUUAAAACAGGAACGUUUCCUCUCUUGGCAGUUUCAACUGAGGCCAAAGGACCUUAAUAGUCUAUUGGGAGGUUCCAGACCAUCUGAAUAGGAUUUACAAAUGAGGUUUCCCCAGAUUAAUUCCCUAAUCUUUGGCCCAGCAAAACCAUAUGGACCCUGUAAGAGUUCAUCAAGGAGAACUUCUUCACAGACAUUAGGAUCCUAGUUUUCUCCUUCUCCUCAUGGAGGAGAGCAAGUUAUACUUUUCACACAAAUGUUAUGAGGCAGGCUCCCAGGGAAGCCUUGCAGAGUCCAGUACCUGCUCCUUGGGUUGGGUUUCCCGACUUAAGCCUAGAAAGGAAAGUGAGACUAGAGCUGCCUUAGAUGACAGUGAGGAGACAGACUUAGAGGGAAGGAAACUCCCCUGGUUGCUCCCUCAGUGUGGUGGAGUGGUUAAGCCAGUAGAUUCCCAAGCCCUUCUGCUUCAGUUCAAAUCUUACCUCUACCACUUAUUAACUGAGUGUUUGUGUAACUAAUUUUUCUAUGGUUCUGUAAAAAUAACUCAAAGAAGUGUGGUGAGAAUAAGAUACACUGAAAUAUGUUGGGAGUUCCCUUCAUGGCUCAGCGGUUAAUGAAUCCGACUAGGAUCCAUGAGGAUGCGGGUUCAAUCCCUGGCCUGGCUCAGUGGGUUGGGGAUCUGGUGUUGCUGUGAGCUAUGGUGUAUGUCACAGACAUGGCUCGGAUCCCGUGUUGCUGUGGCUGUGGUGUAGGCCGGCAGCAGCAGCUUCGAUUCAACCCCUAGUCUGGGAACUUCCAUAUGCUGCAGGUGCGGUCCUAAAAAGCAAAAAAAAAAAAAAAAAAAAAAAAGAAAGAAAGAAAGAAGAAAGAAAUAUGUUAAUUAUCUGGAAAGAAAACAGGAAUAACAUCAAUAGAAGGGCAAGUGAUAGAGCAGGAAGAGUCUGUAUGGGACAUUUGGAAGCAGGAACUGAGAAGGUGUCAUACACAGUCAACUGGAGGAGAUAUCAUGCCACAUGCAGUCUUUAGCAGGAUCUCUGAUAAUGGCAGGUAUCUUCAAAGAACCCCCAAAGACACCCUGAAAAUGACUAAAUUUUAAAGAUCUACCCAUGGUCAUGGACAGCUAAGAGAGAACUACAUAAUACCACUUGCCCUUCUUUUUUUCUCCAACCUCCUCUCCUCCGUACUCCAUAAGAAGAGCAACUUUGAGUUGGGAGAGGAAUGCAAAAGCCAGAAGAAUAAUAACACAAACCUGAGCAAAGCUGAUCCCUUCUCACACCUUAUUAUGACUUAGACAAGAGAGCAAAGCUUUGGAAUUGCUAUUAACUGUAUUAUGCUCCCUCCCACUGCCACAGAUUCACCCAUUGGAGGACUAACCUCCAAUGCGACAAUGUUACUUAGUUGAAAACAGGGCUUUUAGAAGGUAAUUAGGGUUCAAAGAGGCCAUAAGUGUGGGGCCUAAUUCAAGAGGAUUGGUGAUUUUAUCAGAAGAGAGACUGAGAGAGUGAUGGCUCUCUCUUUCUUUCUAUUUGCCAUAUAUAGCCACAUCAAGCCAGGAGGAGAGCCCCACCCAGGAACUAAAUUGCCUGGCACCCUGAUCCUAGGCUUCCCAGCCUCCAGAGCUGUGAGAAAUAUAUUUCCAUUGUGUAAGACACCCAGUCUAUGGCAUUUUAUUAUGGUAGUCCAACCUAAUACAAAUAUUAAGCUUUAUAAUGGCUGAAAAAUGAGACUAUUCAUUCACACUAUUCAUUAUUACCUAAUAGUAGCUGGAAAAACAAUACUUUCAGCCUUAGAUUUCAUUGCAGAACAGGGAAGAGAUAUUCGAUAGAAUAGACUUAAAAGGGCAGUGGUGAGAAGGGCUGGAUAUAACUUUCAUGAGUCUAGCUUUUCAAUAAUUUGGUUUCAUACUUCUUUGGACUAUGCCUCAUUUCUCCAGACUUAUAAAGGAGUUGGAUUCAAUGGGAUUCAAGUCCCCGUUGUAGCUCAGAUAUUCUGUAUUACAUUCAAUGAUACAUUUCCAUUUCCGUGAAAGAGCUUCAGAUAUUUUCAUGAAAGCAGCUUCUGAAAAGUAAAUCUAUUAGAACAUUUCAAGAGGAAAGUGGAGAGAAAAGGAGUCCCGAGGAGGACCUUUUAGAGAACUAGAAGUCUUAGGGUUUUUAACCACAAACCACACUUUUCUUAGGCUCAAACCUCCAAGUCACCAGUAUUAUGCAUUUCAUUUAAAAAAGGGCCUCACCAGACUAAAAAUCAUUUAGUGAAAUUCCAGUGGUUCCUGACUAACAAGGAGGCACCAAUGUUCUCAAAAUUUUUUCUUGAGAGCCUAAAAUUAAUUGUAGUGUAUGUAAAUUAAAUUAUAAAGAGCACACACAGAGACACAUACACACUCACGCAAGCAGAGUAUCUCAACCAUGAUGAAUUUAGAACUACUGAACUUCUGGCUAAUGAAACAAACAAACAAAAAACAAUCUGAUUUCAAGUAGGAUAUAGUUAACCAACCAAGUUUUAAAAAGUUGCUGUGGUAUUCUGAAAGAUGUGCAAAGCAUUUCGUAUUCAUCUCAGGCAACGUAUCUUAGUAGCUUUUCUUUAAAGGAAAUUAUUUCUUUCCCACGCAAUAUGUCCCUUUGCUUGCAGAAAUUGUAAUUCCAGUUUUAAAGGUCUGCCAUGCACUGAUCUGAGGUUUAAAGACAUUCCCUCCCAAAGUGUCAAAGUCUUAGGUUUCUGAGAAGCAGAAGCCAAUGAAAAUGUACACUGUAAAUUCUCAGUUAAAAAGCACUUGCCUGCAUGAGGGUAUUUUCACAUUAAAUGUUGCCAGCGAUAUGUAAUUUUCAGGCUGCAUGUAUAAAGAUUCUACCUUGUAGACCUGCCCAAACUGAGAGCCAGGGUUAUUAAAAAGUCUUUGUACUCUUUUCAUAUAAAUCUAGUGCUUCUUAUACAAACAUUUUUCUCAUGUCAGAGUGAUUCAUAAAGGCUUGUAAUCCCACGGGUGUAAUAGGACACCUCUCAAUUACACAUCCCAGGGAUGAGUAAUUUCACAAGCUGAGGGAAGAAGAUAAAUGCAUUAAAAUGUUUUUGCAAAACAAAUUUCAGAGAGAGAAAGGGAUGAAAAAGGAAGUGAAUGUAGAAAUUGAAGAUUUACUUCAUUGUGCAGAAAAGAAUAUUAGAUCUGCCUUGGCAGAACUGCUUAAUUCAUAAUUCUGCACAAACAACUCCAGUAACAGCACUGCCAAAAGCCUUCCUAAUAUGCAUGUACCUACAAAUGCUCAGCUUUGUCUCUGGUAACUGCAAAGUAUGAGAACUGUAUAAUAAUCACAUUUCAUAGUGAGUCAUGGGUCAGAGAAUCUGUGAGGAAUUAUCUCAUUAUAUUUUUUCAUUCAGAAUCAGUUCUAUUCAGAAGCAUUGUGGUUUGUCACUUCUGGACUUUUUGGUCUUAUCAUCAGUAGCUAUAUGCUGAGUCCCUAAUGUGUGGGAAGGUGUAAACUGGGUUAUGACACUCAUAAAAACCAGGGCUUAUAUAGGAAAAGGCAAAUAACCAUAUAAACCUGUAUCAUUUGUCUUAGGUGAAAAAAAUCCUAAAGAUGUGCAGAAACAGAUACAAUCAGAUUGUUGGAAUCACUAAAGAAGGCUUCAUGGAUGAGUGGAAUAAUUGAACUCUAAAAGAAGGGUAGUCUUUAGAUGCACAGAUCUGUAGAGAGAAUGUCCUCCAGAAUUAUCUCUUGUUAGAGAAAUGGAACUAUAUUCCUAGAUGUUGGAAUAUUUAAAGCAUGCUAGCAGAAAAUUUAUAUUAGAUUUAACAACAUGAAAUUGUUGUUUUUCUAGGUAAGAAAUGAUAAGAGUACCCAGUCUGGGGGAGCCAGAUUCUGAAGGAGUCAGGAAUGUCAUGGCAAGUUGCUCAUGUGAUGCAUUGCCUUUAAACCUCAUCAACAACAUAGCAUCUGAAAUCUAAAGAAUUAUGAAACUUAGAAUUUGCUAGGGAAGGAAUCUUAGGAAAACUUAGUUUGACUCGUAACCCCUGAUUGAUUGUUCAUUGUCUUGCUUUUAUUAUCUAGUUGAUAAUGAAUGUACACCUAAUUCAGCUAAUUCUCUUUUGAGUCAGCUCUAAUGGUUUGUUUGUUUCUUUAUUCAUUUGUUUGUUUGUUUAUUUAAUCUUGAACCAAAGACAAGUGCUACAGGCAAGGUUAAAACUUCAGGUCAUCCCUCCAAACAUUUGAAGACACCUGAUUAAAUAGUCUCUUCCUCCCUCCCUUCCUUCCUUAUUUCCUCCCUCCCUCCCUUUCUUUUCUUUCUAGUCAUACACGAGAUAUAGAAGUUUUUGGGCCACAG
RNAcentral lists this long non-coding RNA (6738 nucleotides) under Sus scrofa (pig). RNAcentral describes it as "lncRNA (ENSSSCG00000055099.1)". The record is from RNAcentral. Lineage: Eukaryota; Metazoa; Chordata; Mammalia; Artiodactyla; Suidae.